UGUAACUUCAUUUGAUUAUUGCCGCGCCUAAAUGGCGGAAUAGGUAAUGGCUUAAAACUAAAGAGACAACACUGGUCUCUUUUAAGCCAAGUUUGGUGAGAAACAGCAGAAUGCUUUGUGGCCAAAUACCGAGGCGAUCGCUUUGAAAAUCGGCCAACCGCAGUCGCAACCAACCUUCGAGUGUAAGCGCAUGUUUUUAGCCUGCAAUUUAUCCAUAGGAAAAACAAGAUAAGAAAAUAUGAAGUGAAGUGAUAAGUGUACAAGUACAUAUCCAUACAUACAUAUACAUAUGUAUAUAUGUAUGUAUGAUGAGACUUUCACUGUGCUAAAGUCAAUUGCAAAACAACUUUAAUUAUUAAAAAAAAACAAUAAGAUGGGUGUAGCAAAAUAAAGAAAUAAUAGCGAAGAAACUUAAAAAUGUGAGAAUGCAACGAAAUUGAUUUCUUGACAUAGUGCAACAGAAGCCAGCAACAACAACAAAUCGUAGACAUUUUAUGUAGUUGUGUUAAAGUACCACAGUACCGACAGCAAAGCUGC
This is a long non-coding RNA of Rhagoletis zephyria (snowberry fruit fly), 537 nucleotides long. RefSeq lists it as uncharacterized. Lineage: Eukaryota; Metazoa; Arthropoda; Insecta; Diptera; Tephritidae. The record is from RefSeq and is a predicted model, not a curated record.